GACGAACGCUGGCGGCGUGCCUAAUACAUGCAAGUAGAACGCACAGUUUAUACCGUAGCUUGCUACACCAUAGACUGUGAGUUGCGAACGGGUGAGUAACGCGUAGGUAACCUGCCUGGUAGCGGGGGAUAACUGUUGGAAACGAUAGCUAAUACCGCAUAAUAUUAAUUAUUGCAUGAUAGUUGAUUGAAAGAUGCAACUGCAUCACUACCAGAUGGACCUGCGUUGUAUUAGCUAGUAGGUGAGGUAACGGCUCACCUAGGCGACGAUACAUAGCCGACCUGAGAGGGUGAUCGGCCACACUGGGACUGAGACACGGCCCAGACUCCUACGGGAGGCAGCAGUAGGGAAUCUUCGGCAAUGGACGAAAGUCUGACCGAGCAACGCCGCGUGAGUGAAGAAGGUUUUCGGAUCGUAAAGCUCUGUUGUAAGAGAAGAACGGGUGUGAGAGUGGAAAGUUCACACUGUGACGGUAUCUUACCAGAAAGGGACGGCUAACUACGUG
Molecule: ribosomal RNA, 505 nt
Filed under: uncultured bacterium
Lineage: Bacteria
Description: partial 16S ribosomal RNA
Rfam family: Bacterial small subunit ribosomal RNA
Source: RNAcentral